GCGGGCUUAACUCAGCUGGUAGAGUACUAGCUUCCCAAGCUAGCUGUCGCCGGUUCGAAUCCGGUAGCCCGCU
RNAcentral lists this transfer RNA (73 nucleotides) under Deltaproteobacteria bacterium. Its description in RNAcentral is "tRNA-Gly". It matches the Rfam family "tRNA". Rfam says of the family: Transfer RNA (tRNA) molecules are approximately 80 nucleotides in length. Their secondary structure includes four short double-helical elements and three loops (D, anti-codon, and T loops). The record is from RNAcentral. Lineage: Bacteria; Pseudomonadati; Myxococcota; Myxococcia.